UCGAAUCCUGUCUUCCCGAUUCAUUGUACCCAUGCCGAACACAGAAGUUAAGCCCUAGAACGCCGGAAGUAGUUGGGGGUUGCCCCCUGUGAGAUAGGGAAGUCGCUUAGCU
RNAcentral lists this ribosomal RNA (112 nucleotides) under Streptococcus pneumoniae. Lineage: Bacteria; Bacillati; Bacillota; Bacilli; Lactobacillales; Streptococcaceae. The record is from RNAcentral.